This 417-nucleotide ribosomal RNA is filed under the name Triticum aestivum (bread wheat). Its description in RNAcentral is "partial small subunit ribosomal RNA". The record is from RNAcentral. Lineage: Eukaryota; Viridiplantae; Streptophyta; Magnoliopsida; Poales; Poaceae.
AUGGGUACCGGGACCCUUCGGGAAGAUCCACGUCUUCAUCAGCGUAAUCGACGAUUCUGGUCCCGAGCCGGACAUCUUCAUCGACAACGUCGAGCCAGACCCGGCCGGGCCCAAGCCGGUCGGGCGCACGAUUUCGUCGGCUUCACUCGGGGAGUCGAUCUCGCGGGAAAUUCUGCAUCUGGCGGUGACACUCUCGUCUACUCUGACGGCGAGUCUUCGGUUGGUGACACUGAGUCGAUUCUCCCGCUUUUCGAUGACAGGCUGGGGCUAGUCCGACAACGAGAUCGGUCCAGAGGUCGUCGAGCCGUUGCGUCGCACAGCGGUCUACAUGACAGGAAACCAAAACCCGAUUGGAAUCGGGGUGGCUCAAAACUCCACGAUGGCCGGUGCGACUUGUACCUCGGCGCCGUCUCUUGA